Molecule: non-coding RNA, 102 nt
Organism: Hypoxylon cercidicola
Lineage: Eukaryota; Fungi; Ascomycota; Sordariomycetes; Xylariales; Hypoxylaceae
Source: the annotation of a GenBank genome assembly
UCUCCAUUCGUCUAGUGGUUAGGAUACCUGCUUGUCAUCAGAUUAAGUCCUAUGAUAAGAUCGAAUCCGCAGGUGGCCGGGGUUCAAUUCCCCGAUCGAGAG